Long non-coding RNA from Gallus gallus (chicken), 5143 nucleotides. RefSeq lists it as uncharacterized. Lineage: Eukaryota; Metazoa; Chordata; Aves; Galliformes; Phasianidae. The transcript is spliced from 8 exons. The record is from RefSeq and is a predicted model, not a curated record.
AUCUGAACUUGGGAGUGCUUCCUUGAGGGUCUGAGGUGGCAGCAGAGAGCUGCAGCGCUCCCGAGUGCUGUAAGGACUGCACGGAGAGAUGUGCGGGUCUUCACGGGAACAGCCAGGAACCGAAAGCUGCAUUUCCCGGGAUGCCCUGGAGCUCCACUUUGCUGACUGGUAAUUGUCUGCCCAGCAGGUAAGGACAAUCCACUCCCACCAGUGUUUACCCCUUACUGAGUGAGACACAAGGUAGGGUUCCCAGAGCUCCUUUCUGCACUUCAGGGUUCCCCGAAGGCUGCCCGUCCUAUUCUUUGCACGUUCUCCUUGGCUCUGGCCUUUCACUGCGGUGUUCUCCUUCCCUUUGCCCUUGGCGUUCCUUACUGCAUUCUCUUGUCCUCUUGCUUUUGCAUUCCUUGUCAUGUUCUCUUGGCCAUUGCCCUUGACUUUCUUGGCCACAUUCACUUCAACAUUCAGUUUUGGCGUUCCCUGCAGUGCUCUCUUGCCCUUCUGUUUUCGUGUUUCUUGUCGUGUUCUCUUGGCCAUUUCCUUGGCAUUUCCUUCCACAUUCUCUUGGCCCUUACCUAGGCGUUCCCUUGCCCUCCUGUUCUUGCGUUCCAUGCCACAUUCUCUUGACUAUUGAACUUCUUUUUCUUCUGCCACGUUCUCUUCAGCAUUCAGUUUUGGCGUUCCCUGCAGUGUUCUCUUGCCCUCCUGUUUGGGCAUUUCCUGCGGCGUUCUCUUUGGCAUCAUGUUCUGGUGUUCCCAGCCACCUUCUCUCAGCGUUCUGCUUUGGCCUUCUUUGCCGUGUUCUCUUUGGCCUCCUGUUUUGGCACUUCCUGCCACGUUCUCUUAGCCCUUGCCCUGACCUGAGCAUUCCAUGCCGUGUUCCCUUGGCCUUCUGUUUUGGCAUUUUUUGCUGUCUUCUCUUGGCCUUUGCCCUUGGUUUUUCCUGCUGCUGUCUGCUCGCCCUCACCUUGGCUUUCCGUUGGGUGCUCUCCUUGCUUUUGCCCUUCCCUUCGCCUUGGCUGUUUGCUUUGCCUUUACCUUGGUUUUCCGUGGGAGUUCUGCUUGCCUUUUUUCUUUGGCUCUCUGGGAUUGGCUGGGAGGCAGCGUGAAUGUUAAUCUUGACCUGAACCCGUAGCUUAAUGUGAGCUCUAAUGAUAAUUAUGUUAACCCACAGUGUAUAUGUAAGCCGAACUAUUAAGCCAAUAUUAAAAACGUCUCUUAACCUAAAUGCUGCAAUAAAAAUAAUGCCGCUUGUUUUCUGUCACAGUACCCUUAAUCCUAAUCAUAGUGUGGAAAACAAUUGUUAAGCUAAUUGUCACUUCAAACCUAUGCAUAGCAUUAAUUAUAUUCCUAAUACUCCCUUGCGUCAUCCUAUAGAGCAAUGCACACGGGGUGCAGCCGUACAUAUGCAGGACAGCGCCUUCAUUACUGCAUUGUGUCCAACAGGUGGCAGCAGAGAGCUGCAGCGCUCCCGAGUGCUGUAAGGACUGCACGGAGAGAUGUGCGGGUCUUCACGGGAACAGCAAGGAACCGAAAGCUGCAUUUCCCGGGAUGCCCUGGAACCCCACUUUGCUGACUGGUAAUUGUCUGCCCAGCAGGUAAGGACAAUGCACACCCACCAGUGUUUACCGCUUACUCAGUGAGACACAAGGUGGAGUUCCCAGAGCUCCUUUCUGCACUUCAGGGUGCCCCGAAGGCUGCCCGUCCUAUUCUUUGCACGUUCUCCUUGGCUCUGGCCUUUCACCGUGGUGUUCUCCUUCCUUUUCCUUCCCUUUUCCCUUGGCGUUCCCUACUGCAUUCUCUUGCCCUCGUGUUUUUGCAUUCCAUGUCAUGUUCUCUUGGCCAUUGCCCUUGACUUUCUUGGCCACAUUCACUUCAACAUUCAGUUUUGGCGUUCCCUGCAGUGCUCUCUUGCCCUUCUGUUUUGGCGUUUCUUGUCGUGUUCUCUUGGCCAUUUCCUUGGCAUUUCCUUCCACAUUCUCUUGGCCCUUACCUAGGCGUUCCCUUGCCCUCCUGUUCUUGCGUUCCAUGCCACAUUCUCUUGGCUAUUGAACUUGUUUUUCUUCUGCCACGUUCUCUUCAGCAUUCAGUUUUGGCGUUCCCUGCAGUGUUCUCUUGCCCUCCUGUUUGGGCAUUUCCUGCGGCGUUCUCUUUGGCAUCAUGUUCUGCUGUUCCCAGCCACCUUCUCUCAGCCUUCUGCCUUGGCCUUCUUUGCCGUGUUCUCUUUGGCCUCCUGUUUUGGCACUUCCUGCCACGUUCUCUUAGCCCUUGCCCUGACCUGAGCAUUCCAUGCCGUGUUCCCUUGGCCUUCUGUUUUGGCAUUUUUUGCUGUCUUCUCUUGGCCUUUGCCCUUGGUUUUUCCUGCUGCUGUCUGCUCGCCCUCACCUUGGCUUUCCGUUGGGUGCUCUCCUUGCUUUUGCCCUUCCCUUCGCCUUGGCUGUUUGCUUUGCCUUUACCUUGGUUUUCCGUGGGAGUUCUGCUUGCCUUUUUUCUUUGGCUCUCUGGGAUUGGCUGGGAGGCAGCGUGAAUGUUAAUCUUGACCUGAACCCGUAGCUUAAUGUGAGCUCUAAUGAUAAUUAUGUUAACCCACAGUGUAUAUGUAAGCCGAACUAUUAAGCCAAUAUUAAAAACGUCUCUUAACCUAAAUGCUGCAAUAAAAAUAAUGCCGCUUGUUUUCUGUCACAGUACCCUUAAUCCUAAUCAUAGUGUGGAAAACAAUUGUUAAGCUAAUUGUCACUUCAAACCUAUGCAUAGCAUUAAUUAUAUUCCUAAUACUCCCUUGCGUCAUCCUAUAGAGCAAUGCACACGGGGUGCAGCCGUACAUAUGCAGGACAGCGCCUUCAUUACUGCAUUGUGUCCAACAGGUGGCAGCAGAGAGCUGCAGCGCUCCCGAGUGCUGUAAGGACUGCACGGAGAGAUGUGCGGGUCUUCACGGGAACAGCAAGGAACCGAAAGCUGCAUUUCCCGGGAUGCCCUGGAACCCCACUUUGCUGACUGGUAAUUGUCUGCCCAGCAGGUGGCAGCAGAGAGCUGCAGCGCUCCCGAGUGCUGUAAGGACUGCACGGAGAGAUGUGCGGGUCUUCACGGGAACAGCAAGGAACCGAAAGCUGCAUUUCCUGGGAUGCCCUGGAACCCCACUUUGCUGACUGGUAAUUGUCUGCCCAGCAGGUGGCAGCAGAGAGCUGCAGCGCUCCCGAGUGCUGUAAGGACUGCACGGAGAGAUGUGCGGGUCUUCACGGGAACAGCAAGGAACCGAAAGCUGCAUUUCCUGGGAUGCCCUGGAACCCCACUUUGCUGACUGGUAAUUGUCUGCCCAGCAGGUGGCAGCAGAGAGCUGCAGCGCUCCCGAGUGCUGUAAGGACUGCACGGAGAGAUGUGCGGGUCUUCACGGGAACAGCAAGGAACCGAAAGCUGCAUUUCCUGGGAUGCCCUGGAACCCCACUUUGCUGACUGGUAAUUGUCUGCCCAGCAGGUGGCAGCAGAGAGCUGCAGCGCUCCCGAGUGCUGUAAGGACUGCACGGAGAGAUGUGCGGGUCUUCACGGGAACAGCAAGGAACCGAAAGCUGCAUUUCCUGGGAUGCCCUGGAACCCCACUUUGCUGACUGGUAAUUGUCUGCCCAGCAGGCAGGUCUUCAAUGAAGAUAUUGGACAGAACAGGCCUGAAGAGCACUCAGGAUGGCAUACCAGCUGCUUUUAACACAAUGGAGCAGCACUCAUUAGGCCAGCCGGUUCAGCUACUUCUUCAUCUAGCAAGCAAUGUACCCGUCCAAGUAGCCGGCUGCAAUCUUUGAGAGAAUUUCAAGGGAUAGCACAUCAAAGGCUUUGCCUCACUCAUGGGGUUGGGUCACUGCUUUGAGUGUGCUAGCGUGGCUGACCAUAAUCCUGUAACUGACAUCCUGUAGCUGGACAGAGACCAUUUGCACUCCAUCCUGGCUGUUUAAGACUCACGGCCAUGCUGAGAGUCACACUGAUUUCAGCGUGUGCAGUCAUUUUGCAUCAACCCAAUUAGCUUUACAAAUAAUUUGUCUCAACCAAAUUGGUUUUAGCUUUGCAGUUAAUGCAUUGCAAAUAUGUUGGCUUUAGCUUUGCCUUGCUUACGGGGUUGGGUUAGCUUUGCUUUGUUUGUUUGUACCGCAGGGCUAACCCAACCCCGUAACCAACAUCUGAGGCCAUCGGAGCCCAUUUGCGCUCCUUCCUGGCCAGUCUGAGACUCGUGCCCCUUUGCGGCCAUUCUGAGAGUUGCGCUGAUUUUGGCAGGUGCAGUCAAUUGAUCUUGCCCAAAUUGCCUUUAGCUUUGCAAUGAAUUGAUCUCAACCAAAUUGGCUUUAGCUUUGCAAUCAGUUGAUCUCAACCAAAUUGGUUUUAGCUUUGCAAUCAAUUGAUCUCAGCCAAAUUGGCUUUAGCUUUGCCUUGCUUACGGGGUUGGGUUAGCUUUGCUUUCUUUGUUUGUACCGCAGGGCUAACCCAACCCCGUAACCAAUGCCCGAGGCCAUCGGAGCCCAUUUGCGCUCCUUCCCAGCCAGUCUGAGACUCGCGCCCCUUUGUGGCCAUUCUGAGAGUUGCGCCAAUUUUGGCAGGUGCAGUCAAUUGAUCUUGCCCAAAUUGGCUUUAGCUUUGCAAUCAAUUGAUCUUGCCCAAAUUGGCUUUAGCUUUGCAAACAAUUGAUCUCAGCCAAAUUGCCUUAGCUUUGCCUUGCUUACGGGGUUGGGUUAGCUUUGCUUUGUUUGUUUGUACCGCAGGGCUAACCCUAACCCCGUAACCAAUGCCUGAGGCCAUCGGAGCCCAUUUUUGCUUUUUCCUGGCUUGUCUGAGGCUUGCAUUUACUUCAGGUGGGCUGAGAUCUGCUCUACUGUUGAGGUGGGUUGCAGUACAAAAUAUUAGUGUAAAUGUAAUGUUAUUUAUUGGAUGUGGAGGCUUUGUGACCUUUGUCUUGUGAGUCUGACAUAUAACACAUAUGUAAACCAUACCUUAAAAUGUAUGGAGUACGUGGGUGCUGCGUCUGUAAACGGUGUCUUGGAAUUGUAUGGAAUCAGUGUACCUAUGUUUUGUUUGUCAACAUGUAGGCAUUGCUGUAGUGUGCAUACAAUUGUACGAGUCACAUCUUGAGGAAACAGUGUUGUAAUAAACAAAUACUUGUGCAAUCUAA